This is a long non-coding RNA of Acipenser ruthenus (sterlet), 1347 nucleotides long. RefSeq lists it as uncharacterized. NCBI's taxonomy places the organism in Eukaryota, Metazoa, Chordata, Actinopteri, Acipenseriformes, Acipenseridae. The transcript has 4 exons. The record is from RefSeq and is a predicted model, not a curated record.
CGUAGACAAAACAGCUGCACUUAAACACCCAAAGCACACUGGGACUUGUAGUCUUGUCUUGUGCUUCAGCUGUUGUACAAGCACUGAAAGCACUUUGUAGCUGGACAUCAGAUCAGAAAGGAGAGUGAAACACUGAAAGGUGUAGCUUCUAUGGAACAGACACGUGUACUUUCUUAUUUUUGUGCAAUGUGCAAACUGAAAGGCUUUUAUUUUACUGUGUUAUUUUGGUCUUUGUAGCGUCUAGGUGACAUUUACUGUUUUACAUAACCGGUUGUGUAACAGAUGCUCAAACUAGAGCAGUUUACUAAAAAUGCAGUAGUUUGAGGAUCAUCUGAAAUGUUCCCAGUGGAAGUAGACCUAUACAAACAAAACCUUUACUUUUUGUAUUUUAGAUUUUCCCAGUCUGGACCCAACAUACAUAUAAAAAUAUAUAUAUUUUUUAAAACAAAUUCUACGUGCUGUAUAUGCAAAGGUUCCAAGAGGAAUAAUACGUCACAAGUAGUAAAGAAGAUCCUUACAUGAAACCCAGCUGUAGAACUGCACGCGCAGAAGGCAGCACUACUGGUGUAAAGCCCCUUUCAUAGUGGACCACCAUCACAAAGCGCUUUACAAGAUACAAGACUAGGGAACUAUGCAUCAGCUGCAGAGUCACUUACAACAACAUCUCACCCAAAAGACGGAGCACAAGUGACUUGCUCAGGGUCACACGAUGAAUCAGUGGCUGAGAUGGGAUUUGAACCGGGGACCUCCUGGUGACAAGCCAGUUUCUUUAACCGCUGGACCACAAAGCCUCCUAUGAUGUUUUGUUUUAGUUUUUACUUCACGUAUUCAGCCAUUUGAGAUUUCCAGAAACCGUCUUGUAUGACGGAGAAUGUCCCAUCUGUGUGAAAGAAAUCAAUGUGCUCCAAUAUCUGAAGCAGCGUCGGCAGAGUAAAAUAGAGUUUGCAGAUCCCUCCCAGCAGGACUAUGAUGGAAUGCAGUAUGGAGACUGCCAUGGAGGAAAUGCAUGUGAUUGAUGAAAAUGACAAGGUCCAUCAAGGAGUUUCAGUGUUUAACAAAGGACAAUGCAAAACUAAAUGCAAAAAAUGGAAAUCGAUUCAUAUAAAGAAAAGCCCUUUAACUAGUUCUGCAAUCUCCAGGGUUGCAUCAAGAAUCACCUGUUUACAAAUACCAACAUUUAUCUGUACAAAUGUGUUACAUAAACUGGGGUCCACUGUGUUUUUUUAUGUGAUUGUAAUUGUUAUUAGUUAUUUUCUACAUAGUGCAUCAAAUAAAAUAUGUUAUGCUACUUGUGUUGUGUGUAAACCUACAGUAAUAACAUAUCUCAGAUUUAGUAGCUCCUGUGUG